Molecule: non-coding RNA, 124 nt
Organism: Lasiosphaeria miniovina
Lineage: Eukaryota; Fungi; Ascomycota; Sordariomycetes; Sordariales; Lasiosphaeriaceae
Source: the annotation of a RefSeq genome assembly
GGCUGUAUGGCAUAACGGUAGUGCCGUCUAUUGGAACUCACAAAUAGUCAUACACCUUGAAAGUGGUUGCGGAGGAACGUAGUUCAAAAAGGUCUGACACUUGGUUCGAGUCCAAGUGCGGUCG